Onychomys torridus (southern grasshopper mouse) is the source of this 168-nucleotide small nuclear RNA. RefSeq annotates it as U1 spliceosomal RNA. Lineage: Eukaryota; Metazoa; Chordata; Mammalia; Rodentia; Cricetidae. The transcript has a single exon. The record is from RefSeq and is a predicted model, not a curated record.
AUAUAUAACUGGCAGGGGAUCUCAUGAUCACGAUCACGAAGGUAGCUUUUCUGGCGCAAGGCUUAUCCACUGCAUUAUGGAUGUGCUGACCCUUGCAAUUUCCCCCAAUUUGGGAAACUUGAAUGCAUAGUUUGUGGUAGCAGGAGACAGCAUCCAUGAUCUCCCCUA